CGCAAUGGGCGAAGCCUGACGGAGCAAUGCCGCGUGAAGGAUGAAGGCCUGUGGGUUGUAAACUUCUUUUCUCAGAGAAGAAAUUUUGACGGUAUCUGAGGAAUAAGCAUCGGCUAACUCUGUGCCAGCAGCCGCGGUAAGACAGAGGAUGCAAGCGUUAUCCGGAAUGAUUGGGCGUAAAGCGUCUGUAGGUGGCUUGACAAGUCUCCUGUCAAAGAUCAGGGCUUAACCCUGGGCCGGCAGGAGAAACUAUCAGGCUAGAGUUCGGUAGGGGCAGAGGGAAUUCCCGGUGGAGCGGUGAAAUGCGUAGAUAUCGGGAGGAACACCAAAGGCGAAAGCACUCUGCUGGGCCAUAACUGACACUGAGAGACGAAAGCGA
RNAcentral lists this ribosomal RNA (379 nucleotides) under uncultured organism. RNAcentral describes it as "bacterial SSU rRNA". It matches the Rfam family "Bacterial small subunit ribosomal RNA", at positions 367 to 762 of the family's 1533-position model. The record is from RNAcentral.